GAAAUGGCCUGGCCCAGCUCCAGCUCGUCAUUCUGGGAGGAGGCACUGAGAAACCUUGGCCCUGAAUUGAUUUAGCCAAAGUGAGCCAGAGGACACCCAGAUGCUUCGCAGGAGGGGGAUCAAAUCUGUACUGAGGCUGAGGUUUAAUGUCUCUGUGGGUUUUCCUUCGUGACCCUACACAGUGAUUAUCCAGGGGCAUCUUGAGGAAUCAUAUUUGGAGAACUGCAUGAAAGCAAGCUGGCAGAUGCCAUAGUGAAUUGGCAAGUUUUUAUAUGCCUCUCCUAAGUGACAUGUGCCCUCCAUGGCUAACAGCUGGCUGAGAUCCUCUCUGUACACCGGGAUAACCAUAGCGCGGGGAUAUUUGAAGCCAGCUGCUGCAAGAGGAUUCCAAUGGACACCACGUACGAGUGUGGUAAAGGAGGUGCAUAAGGCAUCCUCUCCUGUGCAGACUCCCGUGUCGAAGCUAUUGGCACAGUGCACAGGCUGGGAGUAGAGUGUCCUCCCUGAAGCAGCUACUCCCUGCAGAGCAGAAGUCCAGGAAGGAGGUCAAAGCCUUGGCAGCAGCCAUUGGAUGUGUCCCUUCUGCACAGUCAGAGCAGCCAGGCAUCCUCAUGAGUAGGAAGAGAUGACACUGCCCAGAUCAUGCCAGGGAAUACACCUUAGGGUAGCUCUAGCAGGCACUGUCCUCUGUGCAAGGGCUAUAGUGUGACCACAGCUGGGAACCGAAAUGGGAAGGCCUGUUCUGCACUAAAAUCUGAUCCCAGUAUCAAAUCCCUUACUUUCAUUGCUCCCAAUUAGUCAUAUAUAUGUUACAACAAAGUGUUACAUAAAAAGUGUGUGUAGAGUAUUUUCACUAGGCAACAUGCAUUUUCCAUCCCUCUCUUGUUUUCUGUCCAGAGUCUUCUAGAGCAAUGGGAGAGCCCAUCUCUAGUACUGACAGAGCAGCUCUGCGGUCAGGGGCUGAAAUACUUCCUCAGGCCCCUGUAUAAUUAUCUCUCUUUUGAGCCCUGGCCAGCGUGACGCAUCUUCAUUUCACUAAGGGGACAGGCUAGAAUUGGCAAUGGCAGAAUUCAUUUAUCACAUUUUAAUAGAGAGGCAGCUCAGGAAGGGGGGGACUAAUGAGAAAUUUCUAAAGAAAUUAGCCAGCUUCUGUUACCAAGUUGUCACCUGUGAGGUGCAACAGUGAUGACGGAUGGCCCGGGGCAUGGCCCACCUUGCUUGCUCGAUGCCGCUUCCCUUCUCCCUCUGGUGGGCUGCCUUCCAGUGUGCCACCUCCCUCCGACUGUUCUUCUGCUGUGGGAACGUAAGAAACUUUGAUGUGUGGUGCUGAAGUCUGGCCCAUACAU
RNAcentral lists this long non-coding RNA (1346 nucleotides) under Dromaius novaehollandiae (emu). RNAcentral's name for it is "lncRNA (ENSDNVG00000014833.1)". Lineage: Eukaryota; Metazoa; Chordata; Aves; Casuariiformes; Dromaiidae. The record is from RNAcentral.